This 288-nucleotide long non-coding RNA is filed under the name Mytilus galloprovincialis (Mediterranean mussel). Lineage: Eukaryota; Metazoa; Mollusca; Bivalvia; Mytilida; Mytilidae. The record is from RNAcentral.
UUCUGUUUACAUUCACCAAAACCCCGCGGAAAUCUCACAUGCGUAGCUGCGUUCUAAAAGUCAUGUACGUUCGUACAACAAAGUUUAAAUUAAAAAUUAUAUAAUUGUCCCGAAUAAACAGCUGUCACGGAUGCAAAGAGCUAUUGGAGAAAUAAUUAUUUUAAUAAAAAUAUAAAUCUUUGUAAGAUCUAGUUCAAAUAUUUAUAGUUUUUCACUUGUUUUCCAUCACGAUAUAAUUAACGAGACGUUUUUUCAAACACAACCAAAUCACCCACCAUGACAGCAUUU